UUAAAGAGUUCUAUAACUCCCAAACCCAUGUGAACAUACCUAACGUUGCCUCGGCAGGUCGCACCUACCUUGUAGCACCCUACCCUGUAGGGCCUACCCGGGAGGUGCGGGUAAGCCUGCCGGCGGCCCACCAAACUCUGUUUGAUAUUGAAUUCUGAACCUAUAACUAAAUAAGUUAAAACUUUCAACAACGGAUCUCUUGGUUCUGGCAUCGAUGAAGAACGCAGCGAAAUGCGAUAAGUAAUGUGAAUUGCAGAAUUCAGUGAAUCAUCGAAUCUUUGAACGCAUAUUGCGCCCAUUAGUAUUCUAGUGGGCAGGACCGUUCGAGCGUCAUUUCAACCCUUAAGCCUUCGUUGCUUAGUGUUGGGAGCCUACGGCAACGUAGCUCCUCAAAGUUAGUGGCGGAGUUGGUUCACACUCUAGACGUAGUAAUUUUUUAUCUCGCCUAUUAGUUGGACUAAUCCCCUGCCGUAAAACCCCCAAUUUAUCAAGGUUGACCUCGAAUCGGUUCAGACAAACUCGCUAAAUUGAAGCAUCUUAGUCAGCGAAGGAAAAGAAACCAACAGGGAUUGCCCUAGUAACGGCGAGUGAAGCGGCAACAGCUCAAAUUUGAAA
RNAcentral lists this ribosomal RNA (615 nucleotides) under fungal endophyte. RNAcentral describes it as "eukaryotic LSU rRNA". The stretch from base 180 to 333 matches the Rfam family "5.8S ribosomal RNA". The record is from RNAcentral. Lineage: Eukaryota; Fungi.